Molecule: transfer RNA, 70 nt
Filed under: Kaloula sp. NE Mindanao
Lineage: Eukaryota; Metazoa; Chordata; Amphibia; Anura; Microhylidae
Description: tRNA-Arg
Rfam family: tRNA
About the family: Transfer RNA (tRNA) molecules are approximately 80 nucleotides in length.
Source: RNAcentral
GAGUAGCUAGUCUAACCCAAGACAGUUGAUUUCGACCCAACUAAUUAUGGUUCAACCCCAUAGCCACUCU